RNAcentral lists this ribosomal RNA (217 nucleotides) under Oocyclus sp. SLE0465. Its description in RNAcentral is "partial 16S ribosomal RNA". Lineage: Eukaryota; Metazoa; Arthropoda; Insecta; Coleoptera; Hydrophilidae. The record is from RNAcentral.
UUUUAUUUUUAAAGUUUGACCUGCCCAAUGAUGAAUUUAAUGGCCGCAGUAUUUUGACUGUGCAAAGGUAGCAUAAUCAUUAGUUUCUUAAUUAGGAACUUGUAUGAAUGGUUGGAUGAGAAAUAAGCUGUCUUUAAUUGAUUUAAUAAAGAAUUUUAUUUUUAAGUUAAAAAGCUUAGAUUUUUAUAAAAGACGAGAAGACCCUAUAGAGUUUAAU